RNAcentral lists this ribosomal RNA (440 nucleotides) under uncultured bacterium. RNAcentral's name for it is "partial 16S ribosomal RNA". It matches the Rfam family "Bacterial small subunit ribosomal RNA", at positions 338 to 795 of the family's 1533-position model. The record is from RNAcentral.
CCUACGCGAGGCAGCAGUGGGGAAUAUUGCACAAUGGGGGAAACCCUGAUGCAGCGACGCCGCGUGAGUGAAGAAGUAUUUCGGUAUGUAAAGCUCUAUUAGCAGGGAAGAAAAUGACGGUACCUGAUGAAGAAGCCCCGGCUAAAUACGUGCCCGCAGCCGCGGUAAUACGUAGGGGUCAAGCGUUAUCCGGAUUUACUGGGUGUAAAGGGAGCGUAGACGGCAGCACAAGUCUGGAGUGAAAUGCCGGGGCUUAACCCCGGAACUGCUUUGGAAACUGUGCAGCUAGAGUGCAGGCGAGGUAAGUGGAAUUCCUAGUGGAGCGGUGAAAUGCGUAGAUAUUAGGAGGAACACCAGUGGCGAAGGCGGCUUACUGGACUGUAACUGACGUUGAGGCUCGAAAGCGUGGGGAGCGAACAGGAUUAGAUACCCUGGUAGUC